This 350-nucleotide ribosomal RNA is filed under the name Arge obesa. RNAcentral describes it as "partial large subunit ribosomal RNA". The record is from RNAcentral. Lineage: Eukaryota; Metazoa; Arthropoda; Insecta; Hymenoptera; Argidae.
AUAAUAAUUAGUCUUUUAAUUGGAGGCUGGAAUGAAUGAUUUGACGAGGUAAAUACUGUCUCACUAAAAUUAAAAUUUAAAUUUAAUUUUUAAGUUAAAAAGCUUAAAUAUAAUUAAAGGACGAGAAGACCCUAUAGAACUUUAUAAUAUAUAUAUUUAAUAAAUUUUAAUUUUAUUUUAUUUAAUAAAUAUUAUUUUGUUGGGGCGACAAGAAAAUUUAUUAAACUUUUUUAAAAAUUUUUACAUAAAUUAAUGAUUUUUUGAUCCUAUUUUUUAGAUUAAUAGAUUAAGUUACCUUAGGGAUAACAGCGUUAUUUUUUUUUAGAGUUCAUAUUAAUAAAAAAGAUUGC